GAUGAACGCUGGCGGCGUGCCUAAUACAUGCCAGUCGAGCGAACAGAUCAGGAUUUUGCUCCAUUCACGUUAGCGACGGACGGGUGAGUAACACGUGGGUAACCUACCUAUAAGACUGAAAUAACUCCGGCAAACCGUGACUAAGGCCGGGUAACAUUUAGAACCGCAUGGUUGUAAAGUGUAUGAUGGUUUUGCUGUCACUUAUGGCUGGACCCUCGCGGGAUGAGCUAGUGGGUAAGGUAACGGCUUCCGGAGGCAACGAUACGUAGCCGACCUGGAAGGGUGAUCGCCCACAGUGGAACUGAGACACGGUCCAGACUCCUACGGGAGGCAGAGGCAGCGACUCUUCGGCGAUGGGCGAAAGCCUGACGGAGCGGCGCCGGGUGAGUGCUGAAGCGCCUCGGAUCGUAAAACUCUGUUAUUAGUGAAGAACAAAUGUGCAAGUAACUGAGCACGUCUUGACGGUACCUAGAUAGAAAGCCCCGGCUAACUACGUG
RNAcentral lists this ribosomal RNA (497 nucleotides) under uncultured bacterium. RNAcentral's name for it is "partial 16S ribosomal RNA". It matches the Rfam family "Bacterial small subunit ribosomal RNA", at positions 28 to 507 of the family's 1533-position model. The record is from RNAcentral.